This 506-nucleotide ribosomal RNA is filed under the name uncultured bacterium. Its description in RNAcentral is "partial 16S ribosomal RNA". It matches the Rfam family "Bacterial small subunit ribosomal RNA", at positions 29 to 523 of the family's 1533-position model. The record is from RNAcentral.
AUUGAACGCUGGCGGCAGGCCUAACACAUGCAAGUCGAACGGCAGCGGGGGAUAGCUUGCUAUCCUGCCGGCGAGUGGCGGACGGGUGAGUAAUGCAUGGGGAGCUGCCCAAUCGAGGGGGAUAACAACUGGAAACGGUUGCUAAUACCGCAUACGCCCUGCGGGGGAAAGGUGGGGACCUACGGGCCUACCGCGAUUGGAUGCACCCAUGUGGGAUUAGCUGGUUGGUGAGGUAACGGCUCACCAAGGCGACGAUCUCUAGCUGGUCUGAGAGGAUGACCGGCCACACUGGAACUGAGACACGGUCCAGACUCCUGCGGGAGGCAGCAGUGGGGAAUAUUGCACAAUGGGGGAAACCCUGAUGCAGCCAUGCCGCGUGUGUGAAGAAGGCCUUCGGGUUGUAAAGCACUUUUAGUGGGGAGGAAGGGGAGUAAGCUAAUAACUUGCUUCAUUGACGUUACCCACAGAAGAAGCACCGGCUAACUCCGUGCCAGCAGCCGCGGUAA